Long non-coding RNA from Ictalurus punctatus (channel catfish), 2385 nucleotides. The record is from Ensembl. Lineage: Eukaryota; Metazoa; Chordata; Actinopteri; Siluriformes; Ictaluridae.
CACAUUACAGCCGUCACAUUACAGCAGUCACUUUACAGCCGUCGCGUUACAGCCGUCGCGUUACAGCAGUCGCGUUACAGCAGUCGCGGUUACAGCGGUCACAUUACAGCGGUCACUUUACAGCCGUCACAUUACAGCGGUCACUUUACAGCAGUCGCGUACAGCAGUCACUUUACAGCCGUCGUGUUACAGCCGUCACUUUACAGCAGUCACUUUACAGCCGUCGUGUUACAGCCGUCACUUUACAGCAGUCGCUUUUACAGCAUCACUUUACAGCCGUCGCGUUACAGCCGUCACUUUACAGCCGUCGCUUUACAGCCGUCGCGUUACAGCCGUCAUAUGAAGUGCUUUAACGAAUGAAAUAUCAUUUUAUACUUACGAUAAUACAUUUGUAUAAAUUAUUAUUAGAUUAAACUAUUUAUCUAUUAAAGCACAACCUCAUGAAGCCACAAGACUCUGAAUGGAAGUGAUGAAACACACACAUUCACAGUGAUGUUCAUUAUUACAGUAAUGUGUGUGUGUGUGUGUGUGUGUGUGUGUGUGUGUGUGUGAUAUCGCUGAUGUAUCGUAUGACUGAUCAUCAGUAUGUCCUCACUUUCACUUCCUCGUUUAUCUGUUUAUCUGCUGAUGAAUAAUAAAUGAGCUUUACUGCUCUCUCACUCUGUCUGACCGCACACACACACAGACACACACACACACACACACACACACACACUCUUAAAUAACUCCAUCCUCACCCUUCCUGCAGACCUGCGUGUCCUGAGAGCUGAAGGAGGUAACGUGGACGUGCCUGUGAGUCCAUCUACACUGCCGCUUUAACGUUUGUGAAUUUAUAAUGUUCUAUAUUUCUGCUUAAAUGAACAAAAACAUCAUCAGACUUUCACAUGAGUCCUAAAUGUAAAUAAAUAGAACCCAAUUAAACAAAUGAGACAAAAAUAUUAUACUCUGCUGUUUAUUUAUUGAGGAAAAUGAUCCAAUAUUACAUAUCUGUGAGAGGUAAAAGUAUGUGCACCUCUAGGAUUAUCAGUUGUGGAGGUGAAAUUAGAGUCAGUGGGAUGACGAUCAGGUGUGAGUGAGUGAGCGUCCUGUUUUAUUUAAAGAACAGGAAUCUAUCAGAGUCUGAUCUUCACAACACGUGUCUGUGGAAGUGUAUCAAGCCACGAACAAAAGAUAUGCUGAGGAUGUCAGAAAAAGAGUUGUUGAAGCUCAUCAGGCUGGAAAAGGUCACAAAACCAUCUCUAAAGAGUCUGGACUCCACCAAUCCACCGUCAGACAGAUUGUGUAGAAAUGGAGGAAAUUCAACACCAUUGUUACCCUCCCAGGAGACCAACAAAGAUCUCUCAAAGAGCAAGACGUGUAAUAGUCCACGAGGUCACAGAGAGGAACCCAGGGGAACUUCUAACCGACUAAAUUGUCAUCUCUCACAUUGUCUAAUGAUAAUGUUCAUGAGUGCACCAUCAGGAGAACACUGAACAACGAUGGUGUGCGUGGCAGGGCUGCAAGGAGAAAGCCUCCGCUCUCCAAAAAGAACACUGCUGCACAUCUGCAGUUCGUUAAAGAUCACGUGGACGAGCCAGAAGACUACUGGAAAAAUGUUCUGCGGACGGAGGAGACCAAAAUAAGAAUAUUUUGGUUUAAAUGAGAAGCGUUAUGUUUGGAAAAGGAAAACACUGCAUUCUGGCAUAAGAACCUUCUCCCAUCUGUGAAACAUGGUGGUGUUAGUGUCAGAUAUAAAUUAUAAAUGCGGCAACCACACAGAGCACAUAAAGAUGUGAAUUAAGAAAAUAAUAAAGUUAAAAACACUCACACUGCUUUCUGCAUUCCGUCCCAGUGAACAAAAACUACACGAUUUACAGCACAAAUGAUGAAUCAGCUUCAGCUGCGUGGAAACAAGUGCUUUAUUUGCAUAUCAUAUGCAUACACCAUGCCCCAAUUUACCCUCAUAUGCAUCUAAUUUACAUAGACACACCCACAUUUAUGCAGGUGUCGUGGCAGUGAACCAAUAAAAGCAUUCAGCAGAACCAAGUUUUCCAAGAAAUAAAGUAAACUGAGCAGGAAACGAGUUUCAGUGACUCUGAGGUGACUGCAAAUAAAACAUGAUUUUUCAAAAGCCUCAAAAUCCCUAAACAAACUAAAAUAAAUUCAACUGUUAACAGUUUGACAGAAGAAAACAUGGACCAGUAAGUUGUUCUGUUGUACCUGUUGUUUUUAUUAUGUAGGUGAACACAGACAGUAAUGUUUAUCAUAAAACAUUAAGAGUUUUGGGGUCCCAUGUGUUAACACAUUAGUUUUGCUAAAUUUUCCCAGUACUUCUGUAUAAAACUGAUUCGGGGCGGAGUUACGGUACAUAUGAGACCAGAUUGUCAAGAAUCACUAAGAACUAAG